This 591-nucleotide long non-coding RNA is filed under the name Homo sapiens (human). RNAcentral describes it as "LNC_000621". The record is from RNAcentral. Lineage: Eukaryota; Metazoa; Chordata; Mammalia; Primates; Hominidae.
CACUUUUGAUGACUUUAUUGAGUCGAUUCUGCAUGUCCAGCAGGAGGUUGUACCAGCUCUCUGACAGUGAGGUCACCAGCCCUAUCAUGCCGUUGACCGUGCCGAAGAGCACCGAGCCUUGUGUGGGGGUGGAAGUCUCACCCAGAUUCUGCAUUACCAGAGAGCCGUGGCAAAAGACAUUGACAAACUCGCCCAGGUGGAAAAGACCAACCUCCUGGAGGUGCUGCCGCUCCUCGUCAGUGGUGGCAGCGCUAUCCUUUUGACACACAAACAAGUUAAAGGCAUUUUCAGCCCCCAGAAAAUUGUCAUCAUCCAAGAUUUCCACAGCACUCAUCCAGUUGGGAUUAAAGUCUCGAGCAAUCUCUUCAAAGUUUCCUUCCAUGGGCUUGUAGGCAAGCAGCAGCACUGAGCGCAUAAGGUCGCCCACCAGGAUGAAGUCGCCCUUGGUCUUCAGGUAGAGGGCCAUGAUGUUGUUGUAGUGGUUGCACUCAGUGCGCAGCUCCUUCUCUGUUGUCCACUCAUAGAGCCGCACCGUGCUAUUGAUGCUGGCUAACAGCUUCCCGUUAAAUUCCACCAUAGAGUACACGGCCC